GUUUGAUCAUGGCUCAGGAUGAACGCUGGCGGCGUGCUUAACACAUGCAAGUCGAACGGAAAGCCCCUUCGGGGGAACUCGAGUGGCGAACGGGUGAGUAACACGUGGGCAAUCUGCCCCUGACACCGGGAUAACUCAGGGAAACUUGAGCUAAUACCGGAUACUCCGAGAGGAUCGCAUGGUCUUCUCGGGAAAGCUCCGACGGUCAGGGAUGAGCCCGCGGCCCAUUAGCUUGUUGGUGAGGUAACGGCUCACCAAGGCGACGAUGGGUAGCCGAGCUGAGAGGCUGAUCGGCCACACUGGGACUGAGACACGGCCCAGACUCCUACGGGAGGCAGCAGUGGGGAAUCUUGCGCAAUGGGCGAAAGCCUGACGCAGCAACGCCGCGUGCGGGAUGAAGGCCUUCGGGUUGUAAACCGCUUUCAGCAGGGAUGAAACUGACAGUACCUGCAGAAGAAGCCCCGGCCAACUACGUGCCAGCAGCCGCGGUAAUACGUAGGGGGCAAGCGUUAUCCGGAUUCAUUGGGCGUAAAGCGCGCGUAGGCGGCCCGUUAAGUCGGAUGUGAAAACCGGAGGCUUAACCUCCGGCCUGCAUCUGAAACUGGCGGGCUUGAGUCUGGUAGAGGAAAGUGGAAUUCCCAGUGUAGCGGUGAAAUGCGCAGAUAUUGGGAGGAACACCAGUGGCGAAGGCGGCUUUCUGGGCCACGACUGACGCUGAGGCGCGAAAGCUAGGGGAGCGAACAGGAUUAGAUGCCCUGGUAGUCCACGCCGUAAACGAUGGGCACUAGGUGUGGGGGGUCACCAACUCCCUCCGUGCCGCAGCUAACGCAUUAAGUGCCCCGCCUGGGGAGUACGGGCCGCAAGGCUAAAACUCAAAUGA
Molecule: ribosomal RNA, 880 nt
Filed under: uncultured bacterium
Lineage: Bacteria
Description: bacterial SSU rRNA
Rfam family: Bacterial small subunit ribosomal RNA
Source: RNAcentral